GUAGGUGGCAAGCGUUGUCCGGAAUUAUUGGGCGUAAAGCGCGCGCAGGCGGUUUUUUAAGGUCUGAUGUGAAAGCCCACGGGCUCAACCGUGGAGGGUCAUUGGAAACUGGAGAACUUGAGUACAGACGAGGAAAGCGGAAUUCCACGUGUAGCGGUGAAAUGCGUAGAGAUGUGGAGGAACACCAGUGGCGAAGGCGGCUUUCUGGUCUGUAACUGACGCUGAGGCGCGAAAGCGUGGGGAGCAAACAGGAUUAGAUACCCUGGUAGUCCACGCCGUAAACGAUGAGUGCUAAGUGUUAGGGGGUUUCCGCCCCUUAGUGCUGCAGCUAACGCAUUAAGCACUCCGCCUGGGGAGUACGGCCGCAAAGGCUG
This 374-nucleotide ribosomal RNA is filed under the name uncultured organism. RNAcentral describes it as "partial 16S ribosomal RNA". It matches the Rfam family "Bacterial small subunit ribosomal RNA", at positions 527 to 896 of the family's 1533-position model. The record is from RNAcentral.